RNAcentral lists this long non-coding RNA (612 nucleotides) under Homo sapiens (human). Its description in RNAcentral is "HSALNT0310184". The record is from RNAcentral. Lineage: Eukaryota; Metazoa; Chordata; Mammalia; Primates; Hominidae.
GUUCUACUGACUGAAGUGAUCCUAUCUUGUGACUCAUGCAUGGCACGUCUAUAAGUCAAGCUGGAAUCCUCUAAAAUAAGUCACAUGGGAAAAAAUUCUGAUCUUAUUCUAGACGAAGAAUGAAAAGCCAGGAAGCUACAUAACCCAAGGGUUUUCGUAUGUCUGACACGGAUGGAUCCACUAGACCCACCAACUGGUGGUUUCACUGCUCCUAUAACUUCACCCGGAAGCAACUCAGCACAAAAGGACAGCUUAGACCCCUUAUCAUUUCAUUUCCACUCCAACCAGUCAGCAGCAAGCACCCAUUUCCUAGCCACCCCACCAUUACCUCCAAACUGCCUUUGAAAAGCCUCUACCCUACAAGCCUUCAAUGAGAUUGAUUUAACUGUCUCCCGCAUGGCAUGGCUAGCCUCAUAUCAAUUAAACUCUUUAUUUACUGCAGUGCUGUGGUUUUUAUUUGUGCAGUGGGCAGGAAUAAUCUGUCAGGAGGUUACAUACAUAUAUAUAUUUUAAAUUGGUAUCAUAAAUGUAAACAAAUUUUUUUUUUUUUUUUUUGAGACUGAGUCUUGUUCUGCCACCCAGGCUGGAGUGCGGUGGUGCAAUCUGGGUUCA